ACCUGCCCCUCAUCUGCCUCCCAUCUGCCCCACACCUGCCCUCCCCCCACCCCACACCCGCCCCACACCCGCCCCCCAUCUGCCCCCCAGGCGGCAUCGCUCACGGCCCGCGCGGCCCCACAAGUUACUUCUACAUGCUGCCCAUGAAGGUGCGGCUGCUCGGCCUCAAGGUGGCGCUGACGGUCAAACUGAUGCAGGACGAGCUGCACGUGCUGGACUCCCUGCAGCUGCCCUCGGCUGCCGGCCGCUUCCUGCAGGACGUGGCCGCCUUCCGGCGCUGGGGGGGGUCUGCGCUCCUCGUGGAUCUGUGAGGACUUGGGGGGCAAAGGGGGGUGGGGGGGAAUCGGGGCUGGGGGGGCGUCUGCCCCAUAGCGCGACCUCUGUGCUGCCCCACGGAUGUGUGGGGCACGGCGUCCCCAUGGGUGCCAAUGGGACGCAGCUGGGACCCCCAUCCCACAGCUGCUGCCCCAUAGGGACACUGAUGGCACCUGGGACCCCCAACCUCUGCCCCACUGUCACCUUCGUGCAGCCCCAUAGAUGUGUGGGGCACAACAUCCCCAUGGGUGACAGUGCCCCACAACUGAGACCCCCACCCCACAGCUGCCACCCCAUAGGGACACCGAUGGCACCUGGGACCCCCAACCUCUGCCCCAUUGUCACAUCCUGCCCCACUGUCACCCCACACAUCCAUAUCGUCACCCCACGCUGCCCCAUAGAUGUGUGGGUCCUGUUGUCCCCAUGGCUGCCAAU
Molecule: long non-coding RNA, 750 nt
Filed under: Phasianus colchicus (ring-necked pheasant)
Lineage: Eukaryota; Metazoa; Chordata; Aves; Galliformes; Phasianidae
Description: lncRNA (ENSPCLG00000015077.1)
Source: RNAcentral